UACAGAGGGGGCAAGCGUUAUUCGGAAUUAUUGGGCGUAAAGGGCGCGUAGGCGGCCUGGCAAGUGGAUGGUGAAAUCCCUCGGCUUAACCGAGGAACUGCCAUCCAGACUGCUUGGCUUGAGACCGGGAGAGGUGAGUGGAAUUCCCAGUGUAGCGGUGAAAUGCGUAGAUAUUGGGAGGAACACCAGUGGCGAAGGCGGCUCACUGGACCGGUACUGACGCUGAGGCGCGAAAGCUAGGGGAGCAAACAGG
This 253-nucleotide ribosomal RNA is filed under the name uncultured prokaryote. Its description in RNAcentral is "partial 16S ribosomal RNA". It matches the Rfam family "Bacterial small subunit ribosomal RNA", at positions 524 to 776 of the family's 1533-position model. The record is from RNAcentral.